CCUACGGGUGGCAGCAGUGAGGAAUAUUGGUCAAUGGACGAGAGUCUGAACCAGCCAAGUCGCGUGAAGGAUGAAUGCUCUAUGGGUUGUAAACUUCUUUUAUAAAGGAAUAAAACGAGGAACGUGUCCCUUUUUGCAUGUACUUUAUGAAUAAGGAUCGGCUAACUCCGUGCCCGCAGCCGCGGUAAUACGGAGGAUCCGAGCGUUUUCCGGAUUUAUUGGGGUUAAGGGGAGCGUAGAGGGGUGUUUAAGUCAGUUGUGAAAGUUUGCGGCUCAACCGUAGAAUUGCAAUUGAUACUGGCAGUCUUGAGUACAGUUGAGGUAGGCGGAAUUCGUGGUGUAGCGGUGAAAUGCUUAGAUAUCACGAAGAACCCCGAUUGCGAAGGCAGCUUACUAAACUGUGACUGACAUUGAUGCUCGAAAGUGUGGGUAUCAAACAGGAUUAGAUACCCGGGUAGUC
This 460-nucleotide ribosomal RNA is filed under the name uncultured bacterium. Its description in RNAcentral is "partial 16S ribosomal RNA". It matches the Rfam family "Bacterial small subunit ribosomal RNA", at positions 338 to 795 of the family's 1533-position model. The record is from RNAcentral.